CUACGGGAGGCAGCAGUAGGGAAUAUUGGGCAAUGGGCGAAAGCCUGACCCAGCAACGCCGCGUGCACGAUGAAGGUCUUCGGAUCGUAAAGUGCUUUUCUGAGAGAUGAGAAAGGACAGUAUCUCAGGAAUAAGUCUCGGCUAACUACGUGCCAGCAGCCGCGGUAACACGUAGGAGGCAAGCGUUAUCCGGAUUUAUUGGGCGUAAAGCGCGUGCAGGUGGUUCGGUAAGUUGGAUGUGAAAGCUCCUGACUCAACUGGGAGAGGUCGUUCAAUACUACCGGGCUUGAGAGCAGUAGAGGGAGGUGGAAUUCCCGGUGUAGUGGUGAAAUGCGUAGAUAUCGGGAGGAACACCAGUGGCGAAAGCGGCCUCCUGGACUGUUUCUGACACUCAGACGCGAAAGCUAGGGUAGCAAACGGGAUUAGAAACCCUGGUAGUCCG
Molecule: ribosomal RNA, 442 nt
Filed under: uncultured bacterium
Lineage: Bacteria
Description: bacterial SSU rRNA
Rfam family: Bacterial small subunit ribosomal RNA
Source: RNAcentral